This 288-nucleotide ribosomal RNA is filed under the name uncultured bacterium. RNAcentral describes it as "partial 16S ribosomal RNA". It matches the Rfam family "Bacterial small subunit ribosomal RNA", at positions 333 to 638 of the family's 1533-position model. The record is from RNAcentral.
UCUCCCCUACGGGAGGCAGCAGUAGGGAGUAUUGCUCAAUGGGGGAAACCCUGAAGCAGCAACGCCGCGUGGAGGAUGAAGGUUUUCGGAUUGUAAACUCCUUUUGUUAGAGAAGAUAAUGACGGUAUCUAACGAAUAAGCACCGGCUAACUCCGUGCCAGCAGCCGCGGUAAUACGGGGGGUGCAAGCGUUACUCGGAAUCACUGGGCGUAAAGAGCGCGUAGGCGGGAUAGCAAGUCAGAUGUGAAAUCCUAUGGCUUAACCAUAGAACUGCAUUUGAACAUGUUA